Molecule: microRNA precursor, 58 nt
Filed under: Tribolium castaneum (red flour beetle)
Lineage: Eukaryota; Metazoa; Arthropoda; Insecta; Coleoptera; Tenebrionidae
Description: microRNA tca-mir-11641 precursor
Source: miRBase by way of RNAcentral
UAAAUCUUUGAUCAAAGUGGCCUUCCAAUCACAGUCUACUUUGAUCGGAAAUUUAAUU